Callorhinus ursinus (northern fur seal) is the source of this 614-nucleotide non-coding RNA. Lineage: Eukaryota; Metazoa; Chordata; Mammalia; Carnivora; Otariidae. The record is from RefSeq and is a predicted model, not a curated record.
AUGUGGAAGGCGUGUUAAUAUCAAAAGAAGUGGUUCAUUGGAGUUCAUAUUUGGAAACUAGCUAUCCCCAGAAGCAAUAUUGGAGGUUUAAAUAUGUAAUGUCAACAAAAAUUUAAGUAGGAAAAUCCCGUUUUUUGUCUCCGUAGGGUCAUUUUUCUUUUCUUUUUCUUGGUAUGGCUCAUUUGGUGAUCAGUUUGGCAGUGGAAUGUAGUGAAGAGAAAAUCAAGGACAAGGCUACGAUUUGAGCCUGGCAUAGCUGUAAAAAAUCACGAGAGAGAGAGCCUUAAAAACAUACAAAAACAGACCUCCACAGACUUUAAGAGCGGCCCACAUGGAGAGAGGGAAAGAAAGUUGAAACUUCUGAGAGAAGAAUUUCAGAAGUGUUUAAAAUUGAUGAUAAGAAAAGCGACUCAUGAAGAAACCAUUCUCCACUGAGGGCUGAGAAAACAGGUACCAACCAUCCAACUUAAAACCAAAGAGAACAUCAUCUAGCACCCUCGUGUCAAGCCCACUUCCACUCCCAGACCUGUUCCACCCUCUACCACUUAACUGCUGUGAGUGCAUCAAUGGCAAAACACUGAUUGAUUGAUACAUUGAGGAAAGGAUGCUGUUUC